RNAcentral lists this long non-coding RNA (566 nucleotides) under Anas platyrhynchos platyrhynchos (common mallard). Its description in RNAcentral is "lncRNA (ENSAPLG00000019719.1)". The record is from RNAcentral. Lineage: Eukaryota; Metazoa; Chordata; Aves; Anseriformes; Anatidae.
CGUGUCUGCAGGAAGCAGAUUUGGCUGCAGCGGCCGCACACUCACCGACGGCGCCCCUGCCACUGGUUUCGGGCAGGUCCCCUUCACAUGCAGCCUCCGGAUCAUCUCACAGCAUCUCCUCCGACCAGGAAUUCGUCUUUUGUUUAAUUCCGCCGCGAUUCAAAGCUGGGUAGUUUGGGAUUCUGCUGCUUUCAGACCAAAACGCUGAGGAGGAUUCAGCCAUGGGGGACCCAGAACCGAGUGGUCUCGACAGUCAAGAACGGGUCCCUGAAAACAAGAAGCGAUACAGUGAGAUAUUCCGGAGCCUGGAUGACUUGGAGAUCUCCAUCGGCAACGCGUACGUAGAGAUACGGGGCAGAACCACCUCUCUGGGUCUUUGCAGCCCUAAUUUAUCAUUCCUUUUUAAUUUAUUUCAUGUCAUUCCUUUUCAUUUUACAGGACAGUUGAUUUGUUCAUUGGUGAUGCUGACGGCACUGACGACACAGACCUGUCUGCAGAAAGAGAGAUCGUUCCGGUAGGCAAAGAAUUACCCGUCUUAAUAAAAAAAUUAACAGUGUCUUUUGCCA